UUUUGUAAGAUUUUUAUUUUCAGCCGUUGAUUUUGAGCCCCUUCGUUCACUAGGCAAAUGAUAUCGUAAAAUUAUAAAAUUUAUUUUCUAGGUACUUCAAAUACUCUAGAUCAAGUUUAACGGAGCCGAUCGACGAUUCGAAAGUCGCAACAUCAAAAACGAGCUGGAAGCACGGAAGGCUCCGUGCUUCCGAUAGCAUAGUAGCCUCACUCUAUAUAUAUAUAUAUAUAUAUAUAUAUAUAUAUAACGUAAAAUAAUUUCAAGUUCGGGUUCGGUCAGAUUCGCGUUCGGAUCGGGUAUAAUCAAAAUCCAUAUCUGAAUCCAAAUCCGUCGAUUUUUCUGUUUUGAUACUCAUAUUCGAAACUAUAUCCUAUUAGCAUUGGGUAAUUUG
Molecule: long non-coding RNA, 391 nt
Filed under: Ananas comosus (pineapple)
Lineage: Eukaryota; Viridiplantae; Streptophyta; Magnoliopsida; Poales; Bromeliaceae
Description: long non-coding RNA (ACOM_LNC003828)
Source: RNAcentral